CAUCAUGAUGUGAGCAAAGUCAUGGGCACUGGUCUAGACUGGGAAGGAACAGCUGACACCAGAGGACAAAACGUAGUGACCAGCUGUGGAGAGCCCAGAAGCAAGAAUAAGACAGCAUUUUUAGAGAUACUUUGGCCCUUAGAGAUAGAUUGCAGUUGGAUUUUGCUAACCUCCAUGGAUAGGAUCAUAAUGCUGAAUUCCUUUGGUUGGUGUAUACAUUGAAUCAUAUUGAUGAAUUUGAUAGUGACAAAGUGUUAAUUUCAAAGUUUGAGAAGCAAUCGAUCAGCCAACGGCAAAAAGCACUUUGAGCUUGAAGCAAUCAUCAACACCUCAGGAAAAUUUUGAGCAUCUCUGAAAUUGAAGUUUUACUAAGUGUGAAACCAAUCUCUCCCUUUAAAAA
Long non-coding RNA from Hyaena hyaena (striped hyena), 400 nucleotides. RefSeq lists it as uncharacterized. The transcript is spliced from 4 exons. NCBI's taxonomy places the organism in Eukaryota, Metazoa, Chordata, Mammalia, Carnivora, Hyaenidae. The record is from RefSeq and is a predicted model, not a curated record.